CCUACGGGAGGCAGCAGUAGGGAAUUUUGCGCAAUGGGCGAAAGCCUGACGCAGCAACACCGCGUGAAUGUUAAGCCCUUCGGGGUGUAAAGUUCUGUCAAUAGGGACGAAUUUUGACUGUACCUAUAAAGGAAGCACCGGCUAACUCCGUGCCAGCAGCCGCGGUAAUACGGGGGGUGCAAGCGUUGUCCGGAAUCAUUGGGUGUAAAGGGUGCGUAGGCGGCUUUGCAAGUCAGAAGUGAAAUCCAUGGGCUUAACCCAUGAACUGCUUUUGAAACUGCAGAGCUUGAGUGGAGUAGAGGUAGGCGGAAUUACCGGUGUAGCGGUGAAAUGCGUAGAGAUCGGGAGGAACACCAGUGGCGAAGGCGGCCUACUGGGCUCUAACUGACGCUGAGGCACGAAAGCGUGGGUAGCAAACAGGAUUAGAUACCCUGGUAGUC
This 440-nucleotide ribosomal RNA is filed under the name uncultured bacterium. Its description in RNAcentral is "partial 16S ribosomal RNA". It matches the Rfam family "Bacterial small subunit ribosomal RNA", at positions 338 to 795 of the family's 1533-position model. The record is from RNAcentral.